Molecule: ribosomal RNA, 478 nt
Filed under: uncultured bacterium
Lineage: Bacteria
Description: partial 16S ribosomal RNA
Rfam family: Bacterial small subunit ribosomal RNA
Source: RNAcentral
GACGAGCGCUGGCGGCGUGCUUAACACAUGCAAGUCGAACGGUAAGGCCCUUCGGGGUACACGAGUGGCGAACGGGUGAGUAACACGUGGGUGAUCUGCCCUGCACUUCGGGAUAAGCCUGGGAAACUGGGUCUAAUACCGGAUAGGACCACUGCCUGCAUGGGUGGUGGUGGAAAGCUUUUGCGGUGUGGGAUGGGCCCGCGGCCUAUCGGCUUGUUGGUGGGGUGAUGGCCUACCAAGGCGACGACGGGUAGCCGGCCUGAGAGGGUGACCGGCCACACUGGGACUGAGAUACGGCCCAGACUCCUACGGGAGGCAGCAGUGGGGAAUAUUGCACAAUGGGCGCAAGCCUGAUGCAGCAACGCCGCGUGAGGGAUGACGGCCUUCGGGUUGUAAACCUCUUUCAGCACCGACGAAGCGCAAGUGACGGUAGGUGCAGAAGAAGGACCGGCCAACUACGUGCCAGCAGCCGCCGUAA